UGGAUGUCCAUAACCGGCCCGGUCCAUAAACCGGCCCAAUACCUAGAGAGAGAGAGAGACGGCCGCAGCAAGAGGAGAGAGAGAGAGGCGGCUAGGAGAGACAUCAAACCCUAAUUUCCUUUUACUUGUAUUUGUAUACUUUCCAUAUUUGUAUCUUUCCAUUUAUCUCUUUGUAAUUUCCAUAUAUAAAGGCACCUUAUGCUAUGAAUAAUAAUAAGAACUUAGAGAUUCUAAAUAUUUAAGUUUACAACAUUUACUAAUUUAUCAGAUUCCGGUCCAACUUGAAUUAAACUGAUUAUUGAACCAAAAAUAAUCUAGGGCACUACGGGUUUAACAACGAUCUUGUAUAUAGUUCAAUGCACGCUCUUCUACAUGUCUCAUGUCCCUAUUAGUUACAACUCUUUUAUAUUUAUCAAUAAUAAAAAUAUAAUAAUUUAGUCUCUUAGUUUAAUACACGUCGUACAUUAUUCGUGAUGCCCUGGCCAGAUCUUCGUCAGAUUAUGGCAACGCAUAUAUUAACUAUUAUUAUCGAUUUUUUAGAACUAAUUAUUUAUUGUUAUGAUUAAUAUACAAGAACUUACGGAUUAUAUUCUUUAAUUUCACAACAGGUUAUCAGCACGAAACUCUAAAAACCCUAAAGCUAAAACCAAAUCGAAAAAUCCUAACCCUAGCCGGCGAUCCGACGAACCCUAAACCCCGAUCGCAUCUCU
This 710-nucleotide long non-coding RNA is filed under the name Brassica napus (rape). RNAcentral's name for it is "long non-coding RNA (BNAP_LNC004336)". Lineage: Eukaryota; Viridiplantae; Streptophyta; Magnoliopsida; Brassicales; Brassicaceae. The record is from RNAcentral.